Cyprinus carpio (common carp) is the source of this 1328-nucleotide long non-coding RNA. The record is from Ensembl. NCBI's taxonomy places the organism in Eukaryota, Metazoa, Chordata, Actinopteri, Cypriniformes, Cyprinidae.
GGCAAUGCAAAACUAGUCCAUACAGUUUGUGCACUAUAUUCCAAGUCAUUAACAUCAUAUGAUAUUUCUCCUUUUAUUCCACAUAAGAAAGAAAAGUAUAUAGGAAUGAAUGUGAGUAAAUGAUGACUGAAUUUUCAUUUUUGGGUGAGCUAGUCCUUUAAAACGAAUGCAUUAGUGAGAGAAUAGACUAAACAUCUGGGAAGCCAAUAUUUGUGGUUCACUGAGAUUCUCUCAGACCAAAAUGUUUUGAAAUUCAACUCCCUAGAAAAUAUGCUGGAAUGCAAUGGGAAGAAGAGAAAGCAAAGUCAAGCAGCGGUACAGUUAAUGUUACAGUAGAGUAGACUGGCACGCCGGGCGCAGCUCAGUUGAUCUUUAAGACAGUUACUAUGAAUAUAACAUCUACUGCUGUGAAGAGAGGAGAACCAGAAGAAGACCAGAAAAUCCGGUUCGCAGAAGUGUGGAGUCCCUCCCAAUGCAUCUUUCUCAGAGGCAUCAUGGGCAGGGACGCACACAGAAGAACAAGGUGUGCUGGUUUUUGGCAGAUGUUUCAGCACAAGGAGCAGAUCAGCUAUUGGGAAAUCACAUUUCUGGGUGGUGGUGACAAACAGUGAGGAAAGACAUAUUAUUGUUUAUGAUUUCCAGUGAACAGUUGCAGAGACUUUAUUCCGCUAUUACUUGUUUGAAUUUGUAGUUGUCUUCCAAUUUGCUCUGCACAAAGUGAUUUUCAUACUAUUUUUGUCUUUGUUCACAAGUACAAAAUAUCUGAACAUGAUUAAAUUAAGAUACAUGUACUGAGUCUUGUUUUCUGUUAAAUGAAACAUUAAAGAGUAAGAAAAAUUAAUGUUUUCUUUUUGCUUCUCAAGUGAAUGUAUCUUAAUGUAACAAAAUUCAGUGUGGAUAGAACUGUUCCUAGUGAGCUCCCACCGUAGGCUGUAUUUGAAGAAAUGUGGAAUUGUCCUAUUAUUUAAGAAACUUAAUUAUCCUGAAAAAAAAAAAUCGUAACAUGUUAAGCCUGUUUACGGAAAAGGCAAUUUCAUAAAUUCAUAAAGCAUUUAAAAAAAAAAAAAAAAAAAAAUGAAAUUAUAAAUUUAAAGUUGGUAUAAUUUUGAGUUUGAUUUAUUUUAAUUUUUACUUUUUAAAUUUUUUUUUUACUCCAAUUAAAUAAUUAUAUAUAAUAAGUAUUUAACUGAAAAAAAAAUAUUGAAUUUAUAUAUAUUUAAUAUAUUUAUAUUGAACAGCGGGUUGCUAAUGCAACAUUUCUCAUUUUCAUUUAGUUUAACUAGAUGUUCUAAAAUAAAAUGAAAAUGAAAUGAAAUAAAAAUAUAUAG